Molecule: ribosomal RNA, 301 nt
Filed under: uncultured bacterium
Lineage: Bacteria
Description: partial 16S ribosomal RNA
Rfam family: Bacterial small subunit ribosomal RNA
Source: RNAcentral
CAGUACCGCGGGAAUACGUAGGUGGCAAGCGUUGUCCGGAAUUAUUGGGCGUAAAGGGCUCGCAGGCGGUUUCUUAAGUCUGAUGUGAAAGCCCCCGGCUCAACCGGGGAGGGUCAUUGGAAACUGGGAAACUUGAGUGCAGAAGAGGAGAGUGGAAUUCCACGUGUAGCGGUGAAAUGCGUAGAGAUGUGGAGGAACACCAGUGGCGAAGGCGACUCUCUGGUCUGUAACUGACGCUGAGGAGCGAAAGCGUGGGGGGCGAACAGGAUUAGAUACCCCCGUAGUCCCUGUCUCUUAUACA